ACCCCCUGUGCAGUUUCCCAGGGCUGCUUCCAGCCAACCCCCAGACAGCAGAAUCCUGGGGGCUGGGGCGUGCGUGUGUCAAAAUCUCUCUUUCUCUAGACUGAGAGCCAAGAGCCGGGAGUCGGGAGGUGUCCAGGGCCUGGAGCCUCUCCAGGAAGGGGCCCCCUGCUCUCCUGGGGCAGGUCAUGGGAGCCCAGUCGGCCCCCUCUAGCUCAGCACCAGGGGGCGGAGGACAGGGCCAGGCCACAGGAUGGAGGGGCCUGCAUUCCGCCAGUUCCCCAGGGAGCCCGGGAAAGCAAAGUCAGCCCCAGCUCUGACCCCAGCCACCGGGGCUCCCCGCAGUCACCUUCCAAGGACGCCGCAGGGCGGGGGCUCCCAGGCGCCUGAACACUGCCCUUCACAGCUCAACCUCAUCCCUGUGGCCAUCUCUUCUCUCUCGGUCGCUCCACGGACCUUCCCGCCCGGGCCCCCCAGCGGCUCCUGGGCCAGUCCCUACAGCCGACCCGGCGUCCCCCCCACCCGACCCAGGAGAAUGCUGUGAAGUGCGUUUCUACAUGGGCUGGGAGACCUUACAGUAGGAGACCCCCGUGAGGAGGGCGCCAGGCUCGAGGCUCUUGUCCUCUCGGGCAACUCGGGAUUCUGAACCAGCCCCCAGGAGUCCUUGAGGCUCUGAAAGACCACCCCAUCCAUCUGGCCACCCUCUGACCCAGGAAAAAGAGGGAGUCAAAUAAAAAAAAGAGAGAGAGAGAGAGAGAGUGGCUGCUUUCUUUUUCCUGGGACCAUUUUACCCGGAAGGGUUGGCUUCGAGGCUGGAACUCUUGUGGUCCAGACUUUCCUUAGAAGGUUUGAACCAAGAAGGGUUCAGGAAAUGCCAUCACUUCUGUGUCUCUUCUCACCCUGCCCCCCCCCCCCAUCCAGCAUACCUGAAAAGGCUAUCUCAGUGCCAUUCUGUCUCUCAAAGAAGUCAAGUGACUUGUCCAGAGUCAACAUUCGAACUCCAGACCCCAGACUCCCGGGGCCAGAACUCUUUACAUUUUUCCACACACUCAUCUAAUCCCAUCUCCCUCCUCCUCCCCACUUCAGGAUUUCUCAUUUAUAGCCUCUUUGUGAUGAUAACCUCCAAAUUCAAAGGAUUGAAAGCCUGACACACAGAAUGCUCACCCACCUACAAGAAUGGUCUGAGUGGGAGUCUGGAGUGCGGAGGGAGUUGAAGGUGCAGGAGUAUAACUGAGCAGGUUCACAGAUUUACGGUUAGAAAAGGACCUUAGCCACCCAGUCCAGACCCCCUCCUGUUAUGGAUGAGGAAAUGGAUGCCCAGGAGUGCUCUGUGUGCUGCCCCAUGCUGCUUCUAUUUGAUGGUUCCAGAACCACCCUACUUCUUCAUUUCUCUAGCUGAGGUGGAUCCCCACAGGAAGACCCACUGCUUUACUCAGCCUCUCUGUAAGGAGGAGCUGGUUAGACUGCUCAGGCUCCCCAAGGGCCAUAGAAAUGAGAGAAUACAUAUAUGAUGAGGUGUAUUCUCUCCCCCUCCAGUCUUCCCAGAGCACCUCCAAUUGGCUUCGCCCAGCAAUUCAACAUGCAUUUCUUGACAUCUACUUAUGCACCGGGCACUGUGCCAAGCAUUGUGAACACAAAGACCAAAGUUCUUCCCAUCAUGCCUUCUUCCCCCAGGAAACUUAUCCCUGGGAAAUCUCAUUAUUCUGCAAAAUUGAAUUUGCUUGGUUCUCAAAUCUCAUCAAUACUUCCUGAUCCCUUCUUUUUGACUAGAAGAGCAGGGCCAUGGGCUCCAUCACUUCUCUUUAAAGUUGAGGCUCAGGGGGCAGCUGGGUGGCACAGUGGACAGAGCACCAGGCCUGGAAAUGAGGAGUUCUGGGUUCAAGUCUUGAUCCAGAUUCCCAGCUAUGUGACCCUGGAAAAGUCAUUUAACCCCCUUUGUCUAACCCUUCCUUGCCUUUCUGUCUUAGUUAUGACUAAGAGAAGGUGAAGUUUAAAAAAAAAAAGGCCGGGAGGGAGUUCAGCAGUUUUUCUCCCUAUUUCCCACCAUACAUAUUUGGAAUUCUCCAAUAUGGCCCCUUCAUGGCUUACCGCACCCCCCUUUUUAGCUUCCUUUUGGGUAUUGUCUUCCCUCCUUAGAGUGUAAGUUCUUUGAAGGUAGGGACCAUAUUUGUUUUUAUUUGUAUUUGUAUCACCAGUGCUUAGCACACAGUAGACACUUCAAAAAAUAUUUGACUGGGGCAGCUAGGUAGCACAGCGAAUGAAGCCCAGGACUAGAGACAGGAGGUCCUGAGUUCAAAUUUAGAUUCAUACUUCGUAGCAGUGUGACCCAGGGCAAGUUCGAAUAAACUAGCUCUUAUUGCUGUCUUGGAAUUGAUACUAUCAGCUGUUACUUUAUUGAUAAAUGAUACUUUCUAUCACUCCUAAGACAGAAGGUAAGGGUAAACACAUUUAACUGAUUAGAGUUCAAUUCCCUGCCCUCAGGAGUUCCCAUUCUACCUCCAUUAUACCUAUCUGUAGAUGGGGUAACCCUCUCCAAAGAAGACCCAUUGCUAGUUUCAUCAAGUGUUUCUUUCCUUAGCACAGUGUCUGGCCAGCGCUUGGUGACAAUGAAAUAAAUAUUUACCCAUGAA
Monodelphis domestica (gray short-tailed opossum) is the source of this 2627-nucleotide long non-coding RNA. RefSeq lists it as uncharacterized. The record is from RefSeq and is a predicted model, not a curated record. Lineage: Eukaryota; Metazoa; Chordata; Mammalia; Didelphimorphia; Didelphidae.